GAAUAAGAAGCGAAUUAUUGCAUUCAGUUUCGACCUGAAAUAAUGGUAAAUAUACCCUUAUUCU
RNAcentral lists this transfer RNA (64 nucleotides) under Acrida willemsei. RNAcentral's name for it is "tRNA-Arg". Lineage: Eukaryota; Metazoa; Arthropoda; Insecta; Orthoptera; Acrididae. The record is from RNAcentral. RNAcentral also lists the same sequence under 2 other names.